This 1256-nucleotide ribosomal RNA is filed under the name metagenome. RNAcentral describes it as "bacterial SSU rRNA". It matches the Rfam family "Bacterial small subunit ribosomal RNA", at positions 257 to 1520 of the family's 1533-position model. The record is from RNAcentral.
GUAACGGCUCACCAAGGCUUCGACGGGUAGCCGGCCUGAGAGGGCGACCGGCCACAUUGGGACUGAGAUACGGCCCAGACUCCUACGGGAGGCAGCAGUGGGGAAUAUUGCACAAUGGGCGCAAGCCUGAUGCAGCGACGCCGCGUGAGGGAUGGAGGCCUUCGGGUUGUAAACCUCUUUUGUUUGGGAGCAAGCCUUCGGGUGAGUGUACCUUUCGAAUAAGCGCCGGCUAACUACGUGCCAGCAGCCGCGGUAAUACGUAGGGCGCAAGCGUUAUCCGGAUUUAUUGGGCGUAAAGGGCUCGUAGGCGGCUCGUCGCGUCCGGUGUGAAAGUCCAUCGCUUAACGGUGGAUCUGCGCCGGGUACGGGCGGGCUGGAGUGCGGUAGGGGAGACUGGAAUUCCCGGUGUAACGGUGGAAUGUGUAGAUAUCGGGAAGAACACCGAUGGCGAAGGCAGGUCUCUGGGCCUCACUGACGCUGAGGAGCGAAAGCGUGGGGAGCGAACAGGAUUAGAUACCCUGGUAGUCCACGCCGUAAACGGUGGACGCUGGAUGUGGGGCACGUUCCACGUGUUCCGUGUCGGAGCUAACGCGUUAAGCGUCCCGCCUGGGGAGUACGGCCGCAAGGCUAAAACUCAAAGAAAUUGACGGGGGCCCGCACAAGCGGCGGAGCAUGCGGAUUAAUUCGAUGCAACGCGAAGAACCUUACCUGGGCUUGACAUGUUCCCGACGACGCCAGAGAUGGCGUUUCCCUUCGGGGCGGGUUCACAGGUGGUGCAUGGUCGUCGUCAGCUCGUGUCGUGAGAUGUUGGGUUAAGUCCCGCAACGAGCGCAACCCUCGCCCCGUGUUGCCAGCACGUUAUGGUGGGAACUCACGGGGGACCGCCGGGGUUAACUCGGAGGAAGUGGGGAUGACGUCAGAUCAUCAUGCCCCUUACGUCCAGGGCUUCACGCAUGCUACAAUGGCCGGUACAGCGGGAUGCGACAUGGCGACAUGGAGCGGAUCCCUGAAAACCGGUCUCAGUUCGGAUCGGAGCCUGCAACCCGGCUCCGUGAAGGCGGAGUCGCUAGUAAUCGCGGAUCAGCAACGCCGCGGUGAAUGCGUUCCCGGGCCUUGUACACACCGCCCGUCAAGUCAUGAAAGUGGGCAGCACCCGAAGCCGGUGGCCUAACCCCUUGUGGGAUGGAGCCGUCUAAGGUGAGGCUCGUGAUUGGGACUAAGUCGGAACAAGGUAGCCGUACCGGAAGGUGCGGCUG